Molecule: long non-coding RNA, 1258 nt
Filed under: Homo sapiens (human)
Lineage: Eukaryota; Metazoa; Chordata; Mammalia; Primates; Hominidae
Description: long non-coding RNA NONHSAT198461.1
Source: RNAcentral
CUUCCACACUGUGGGAGGUUUGUUCUUUUGCUCUUUGCAAUAAAGCUUGCUGCUGCUCACUCUUUGGGUCCAGACUGUCUUUAUGAGCUAUAACACUCACCGGGAAGGUCUGCAGCUUCACUCCUGAAGCCAAGGAGACCACGAACCCACCGGGAGGAAGGAACAACUACAGACACGCCGGCUUAAGAGCUGUAGCACUCACUGCGAAGGUCCGCAGCUUCACUCUUGAGCCAGAGACCACGAACCCACCAGAAGGAAGAAACUCCAAACACAUCCGAACAUCAGAAGGAAAAAACUCCAGACACGCCGCCUUUAAGAACUGCAACACUGCGAGGGUCCGCGGCUUCAUUCUUGAAGUCAGUGAGACCAAGAACCCACCAAUUCCAGACACACUACCAAAGGCAGAGGGGAGCUCCUAGACAAAGAUAUUUUGCUUACAAAUGGAACAUAUCAAAUCAAGCUUUUGUGAACUUGAGGGAAGAAACAAAGAAUAUGAAGCCUAAAUGGAAGUGUCAGGAAAUGGUCGCCUUGCGGACAAGGAAACAGCAGCCUGGAAGGCCAGGAGAGGGCAGACUACCCACCUAACCCUCUGCAGAAUUUUGUGUGGACCCUGGAGACCAGAAACUAACUUCUCCUGCAGGCUGGAGUGUAGUGGUACGAUCUUGGCUUACUGCAACCUCCACCUCCUGGGUUCAAGCGGCCCUGUCAUCUCAGCCUCCUGAGUAGCUGGGGUUACAGAGCUCCUUUCUGACAACUUGCAAUUGAUCCAACAUUUGAAACCUUAUGCAGGAGCCGGACAGCUUGGUUUUGAAUUAUAAUCUUACAAAUUACUGGCUGUGUGUUAAAUCUUUAAAUUACUGGCUGUGUGACUUUGUGUAAGUACCUUCACUUCUCUGUGCCUUAGUUUAUGUUAUGUAAAAGGUAUGAUAAUAGUAUCUAUCUUGGAAUUUAGUUUUUAAAUAUAAAAUUUAUAUAUCUACAACAGCUGAAUAAGUGUUAUCUAUCUUUAUUACCAUUGCAAUUAUUAUUAUAAUUAUUUGUAUAUGUCGGGCUCAUAAAGCUCUUAGCUUUGCAAAACUGUCUGAGAAAGUUUGCUUUUCUUUGCAUUCAUUGGGAAAUUAACUUUUCUACACAAUAAUGUUUUUAAGGCAUGGACCUGUAAAAUGUUUAAUUGGUGUGGCUUCAAAGUAUAGAAAUUGUAAAGUAGGAAAUAAUUAUACACAACUAUCAAACCAAUAAUAAAGGUCAAUAAAUAUUC